RNAcentral lists this transfer RNA (64 nucleotides) under Panesthia strelkovi. RNAcentral's name for it is "tRNA-Ala". The record is from RNAcentral. Lineage: Eukaryota; Metazoa; Arthropoda; Insecta; Blattodea; Blaberidae.
AGGAUAGUAGUUAAUAAUAACAUUUGAAUUGCACUCAAAAAGUAUUGAAUUCUCAAUCUAUCUU